Molecule: long non-coding RNA, 259 nt
Filed under: Capsicum annuum
Lineage: Eukaryota; Viridiplantae; Streptophyta; Magnoliopsida; Solanales; Solanaceae
Description: long non-coding RNA (CANN_LNC013863)
Source: RNAcentral
UGACUUGGAUUUCGGGGACAGUUUUGAGUCAAACUGAAAUGGUGAGCUUCUAUACUCCAUAAGGCUCUAUUUCAUGAUAUGGACUUCUUUUAUUUUUGUUAUUUCUUUUGUUUGGUUUUGGCUAUGGUCGGGGGCAUGUCCCAACCGGAUGUUAUUGAUUCUUGUUAGAGGCAUUAUCAUCUACUAUGGGCAUGGGUAGUGUUGGUAUUGGUGUCAGCCUUGGUAUUGAUAUUGGCAUUGGGGUUGGCACCAUUUGGGU